GAUGGACCUCUUAGGACAACAUACCAGCAGAAUGUAUCAUCCUCCCUUGAGUAAAACACUUGUUUUGCCUGAGAAGCUAAUUUGUAUGGAUCCCUAUUAAAGAAAACUUGUGACUGAUUCAAGUUAACAAGUGUGUACCCAUCUUCCACCUUAACUCCGUUUCCUCGUACUGCCCAUUGACACCUGAAUAGAGGGACGUAAAAGACAUUAUAGUCCAACAAGAUAAUCUCUGUAACUUUCCCAUAGUAUGAUACCAAAUCGACGACUUGUGAAGUGUCUUUUGCACUCGCUCUACACAUUGCAGUAGCCUCAUAAAAUACUCCACUGUUUUGGCUCAGCCUCUGAACUGAGUGUGUGUGAAAGCGCUGUCCGUUCACUAUGUAGCCUGUAUAUGACCUUGCAGUACUACAUGGACCAUAUGCCAACCAUUUUAGAGUCUCUCCAUGUGUUUCAGAAUCCACUUUUUUCUAGCAAAAAGUAUAAGCAAUUGUUACAAUAGAAGAACAAUUAAUUCAGAAACGCAACAACUGUUAUAAACUUGCCUGCUCUUUUAACCAAG
Molecule: long non-coding RNA, 559 nt
Filed under: Brassica napus (rape)
Lineage: Eukaryota; Viridiplantae; Streptophyta; Magnoliopsida; Brassicales; Brassicaceae
Description: long non-coding RNA (BNAP_LNC015931)
Source: RNAcentral